UGCCAGCAUCCGCGGUACUACUUAUUGGGCGAGCGUUGUCCGGAUUUAUUGGGCGUAAAGAGCUCGUAGGCGGUUCAACAAGUCGGUCGUGAAAGUUCAGGGCUCAACCCUGGGAACUGCAUUCAAUACUGUCUGACUGGAGUAUGGGAGAGGGCAGUGGAAUUCCAUGUGUAGCGGUGAAAUGCGUAGAUAUGUGGAGGAACACCUGUGGCGAAGGCGGCUGCCUGGCCCAAUACUGACGCUGAGGUGCGAAAGCGUGGGUAGCGAACAGGAUUAGAUA
This 280-nucleotide ribosomal RNA is filed under the name uncultured bacterium. RNAcentral describes it as "partial 16S ribosomal RNA". It matches the Rfam family "Bacterial small subunit ribosomal RNA", at positions 506 to 784 of the family's 1533-position model. The record is from RNAcentral.